Molecule: non-coding RNA, 72 nt
Organism: Streptomyces sp. NRRL S-1521
Lineage: Bacteria; Bacillati; Actinomycetota; Actinomycetes; Kitasatosporales; Streptomycetaceae
Rfam family: ASpks TB sRNA
Source: Rfam
CUUCAGCGAGCCCAGCCACAGGGGCUCUCCGGCGCGGUCCUGGCCGUAGGUGGCGAGGAGGGCCUGGGCCUC